CUUCAGGAAGUGGUUCAGAAUUGGGCGCGAUGUGUGAUACUUUUCCACAGCAAUGUACACCCGGUCAAGCAGCUCCAUGAAAAUGUGCGUUUAUUCGGAGAGUUGCGGUAUGUUGAGAGGUUGGAUAGUGUUAGUUUGGACAUCGUUUGGUGAGUUUAGAACGAGAGAGAGGACUAGUUAUUACUCGUUAGUCGAAUUUAGAGGGAUAGGAAGGAAGAGGCUGGAGCCAUUGAAGAAGACGAGGACGUCCCCGAUGUGGGAACAUUUUGAUUUGAUAACUCUUAUUCAGGUCAGGUGUGGUGUUUAUUGUGUUUCAAGGCGUUGGGGUACAACAACAACAAGACAUCCAUGAUAAGGCCGUGCUUUACAUGGGAAUCGCAGGAAACUUGCGCUUCACCCAGCCACGGCACCAGAAAACAAGAGCUGGAUGAGGCCCUGGUCUCCAUGAUUGUGAAGGAUAAACAGCCCUUCACAAUUGUGGAAGAUGUAGGAUUCAGGACAUUUGUGUCCAAACUGGAUCUGAAGUAUGUAUGUUCUCCCUACAAGGCAGGCUCUGAAAGCCGUGGUGGAGGCCAAAUAUAAGUCUGCUAAGGCUGAGGUGGGAAAGGUGGCUGCCGUAAGCCUUACGUCUGACAUGUGGACAUCCAUUAACAUGGAUGACUACCUGGCAAUAACUUGCCAUUUUUUGGGGGAGAAAAGUAGCCUUUGUUCAGUGCUUUUAGGAGCGCAGGCAUUCCCCCAAUCCCCCACACCUGAAAAUCUAGGUAGUGUGAAAGCCUCCUUGAUGGACGAAUGGGAAAUCACUACAAAGGUGACAUGCAUGGUCACUGAUGGCGGACCAAACAUACUUGGCUGUGUGAGAGAGCUGGAUCUUCGUCAUCACAUUUGCAUUGCUCACACGCUAAAUUUAAUUCUAAAAAAGGCACUUGCUCUCUGACAUCAGGGCCAAAGCAAGGAAGCUGGUUGGCUACUUCAGAAGCAGCACCACUGCUAAGGUUUGCUAUUUCCCUUUAAUCCAACUUUAUAAUGGUAAUAAUUUGUCUGUGGUUCCACUACAGUGAUUAAUGGUCUACUCAUCUGUAUCUUUAAAGGAGAAGCUUACACAAGUGCAGUGUAAUAUGGGGCUGAACAACAUGAAGCUUUUGCUUCAGUGGAAUAGAUGGAACAGCACAUACAACCCCAAUUCCAAUGAAGUUGGGACAUUGUGUUAAACAUAAAUAAAAACAGAAUACAAUGAUUUGUAAAUGAUGUUCAACCUAUAUUUAAUUGAAUACACUACAAAGAUAUUUAAUGUUCAAACUAAUAAACUUUGUUUUUAGCAAAAAUCAUUAACUUAGACUUUUAUGGCUGCAACAUGUUCCAAAAAAGCUGGGAUAGGUGGCAAAAAUGACUGAGAAAGUUAAGGAAUGCUCAUCAAACACCUGUUUGGAACAUCCCACAGGUGAACAGGCUAAUUGGGAACAGGUGGGUGCCAUGAUUGGGUAUAAAAGGAGCUUCCUGGAAUUGCUCAGUCAUUCACAACCAAAGAUGGGGUGAGGUUCACCUCUUUGUGAACAAGUGCGUGAGAAAAUAGUCGAACAGUUUAAGAACAAUGUUCCUCAAUGUACAAUUGCAAGGAUUUUAGGGAUUUCAUCACCUACGGUCCAUAAUAUCAUCAAAAGGUUCAGAGAAUAUGGAGAAAUCACUGCACGUAAGCAGCAAAGCCAGAAAUCAACAUUGAAUGCCUGUGACCUUCGAUCCCUCAGGUGGCACUGCAUCAAAAACUGACAUCAAUGUGUAAAGGAUAUCACCACAUGGGCUCAGGAACACUUCAGAAAACCAAUGUCAGUAAAUACAGUUCGGCGCUACAUCCGUAAGUGCAACUUGAAACUCUAUUAUGUAAAGCAAAAGCCAUUUAUCAACAACACCCAGAAACUGCGCCGGCUUCUCUGGGCCCAAGGUCAACUAAGAUGGACUGAUGCAAAGUGAAAGUGUUCUGUGGUCCGACAAGUCCACAUUUCAAAUUGUUUUUGGGAAAAUGUGGACGUCGUGUCCUCCGGGCCAAAGAAGAAUAGAACCAUCCAGACUGUUAUGGAUGCAAAGUUCAAAAGCCAGCGGUGAUGGUAUGGGGCUGUGUUAGUGUCAAUGUCAUGGGUAACUCACACAUCUGUGAAGGCACCAUUAAUGCUGAAAGGUACAUACAGGUUUUGGAGAAACAUAUGCUGCCAUCCAAACCAAACCACAUUUGGCACGUGUUACAACAGCGUGGCUUCGUAGUAAAAGAGUGCGGGUACUAGACUGGCCUGCCUGCAGUCCAGACCUGUCUCCCCUUCAAAAUGUGUGGCGCAUCAUGAAGCGUAAAAUACAACAACGGAGACCCCGGACUGUUGAACAGCUGAAGCUGUAUAUCAAGCAAGAAUGGGAAAUAAUUACACCUACAAAGCUUCAACAAGUAGUGUCCUCGGUUCCCAAACGUUUAUUGAAUGUUGUUAAAAGAAAAGGUGAUGUAACACAGUGGUCAAUAUGAGCCUGUCUCGGUUUUUUUGGAAUGUGUUGCAGCCAUAAAAUUCUAAGUUAAUGAUUAUUUGCUAAAAACAAUAAAGUUUAUCAGUUUGAACAUUAAAUAUCUUGUCUUUGUAGUGUAUUCCACUAAAUAUAGGUCGAACAUGAUUUGCAAAUCAUUGUAUUCUGUUUUUAUGUAUGUUUAACACAACGUCCCAACUUCAUUGUAAUUGGGGUUGUACUUGAUGCUGCAACCUUUAAUUGAACAAAGGAGGAGCCAGUAGGAGCAGCUUUAGUAGGCCCCGGCUCAUCAGGCAACUCCAAGAUAAGCUAUUCACUUUACAGUCAAUGAGCAUCAUAGCCCUACCUACACUCCUGGGGCCUUAUGUACAAAGACUUGCGUGGAUUUCCUACUAAAACAUGGCAUACACUCAUAUCCAGAAAACGUCGUAUGCACAAAAAUAUCCAGAUGUAUGAAACUCUGCGUACUCAUGAAUCCAAGCACAUUUCCUUCGUAACUUCCAAUCAACGUGGAAAUGAGCGUACGUUGGAGUAGCCGACUCCUCCAUGUCCACGCCCAUAUUUGAAUAUGCAAAUCACAUUUAAAUGAACCCUGCACCUGAGAUGGCGAUUUCUGCAUGAUCAUAAAAAAAUGAAAAUGAGCAAGGUAAUGAAGAAAAAUUAUUUUUCUAAAUGUGAAGUUGCUCAAUGAAGUGGAGGUGCGCAAGAAAAUCCUCUUUGGCACGCUGUCCUCCGGCAUUAACACACAAAAGAGGAUUGAAUGGGACAGCGCGUGUGCGGCUGUCAAUGCUGUGGAGACAGAAUAGCGCGCACACGCUGAACUAAAAAAAGAAGUGGUCAGACAUUAAGGUGGAUGUGAAGCGGAGGAUAGCUGCCCACCACCAAAGUGUGGCCAAAAAAAGGCGGAAGAACCGGCACGGAGGGCCUCACCCCGUUCGAGGAGAGAUUCGCUGCGAUCAUGGGUGACGCUGCUCUCUCAGGGGUGACUGGAGGACGUGGCUGACUAUGAUCACCCCACAAGUUUAAUACCAUGUAUUUUUAGAACUCAUAACCAAUGUGUUCAUACAGUAACCUACACUCAGCCCUGUGAGAUAAAGGUUCAUGUGUAAAUGUUGUAUGUGUUGUAUUUGUAAUAAAUCUUUUUAAUUCAAAUAGAAGCACAUCAGCAUAUCAAAGAGGAUAUCAAAAACUUUGACUCCUUUUUGAUUACUCAAUUUAAUAUUUUAAUACACAGGAGUAGACGCGCAUGCUGAAAAAAAAAUCGUUUUUUUUUUUAGGAGAAGAGGGGUAAAUUAUGUCAAUUUAAACACAUUUUAAUCAUGUGCAACUGAUGUACAUGUUCAAAUUAAGUAAAUUCAAAGGACUCUUUUUUUCAGUGCAUGUGCUGGAGUCACGAAGCGAUUGUGAGGGCAAUAGGCGGCAUAAAUGAUCGCCUUGAUCAAUUAAUACGUGUCCUCACAAAUAUCAGUGAUUCAUUAAAUACACUGUCAGUCCUUGCCUCAAUUGCAUUGUUGAAAUCAAAUGAUGCCGGGCAUUAAUUGUUCAUCAGUGGUAAUUGUUCAUCUCUCUGAUGUGCAGAUUUAUGAGAACAGUUCCCCCGCAUCGCCUCGAAGUGUCGCCAAAGCACCAAAAGCUGCAGAAACGUGCGUACGCCAGCCAUGCAGUUGGCAUGAGGCACCGCACAUUUCUACGGUCAUGUCACUCUUGAUACAUCUGAACUUUGCCGUGAAAAAGAACGGACGCCACGUUUUCGUGCGUACGCACCUUUUGUACAUGAGUCCCCUGGACCCUGGUUUUAAAGUGAUAGGGUUUUAAAGCCACAGAAGCGAUAAAGAGACUGACUUCUGAGUGUACCAGUCUAUUGAAGUACGAACAAACCAGAGAGGAAAUCCCAGAGGCUUCCACCGCUCAUGCUGUCAUGUAGCACACUGUGGCAUCGUUUUGACAGCAGCGGGAUGGAAAACCCUUUAGAGUACUGGUCGAGGCGCAAAUCACUUUACCCCAAUUUGUACACACUUGCUUUGGCACAUUUGUGCACCCUGGCAUCUUCUGUGCGAUGUGAAAGAGUAUUUUCAAAGGCUGAGGAGGUUGUAUCAAAGAAAAGGAAUUGCUUAAAACCGCAAAAUGUUGAGAAGCUAUUAUUUCUGAAUAAAAUCUCCCCUCUUCUUUCAAUCAUAGUUACUGUUAGAUAAAUUGUAGAAGUUAUCAUUUAUUUGCUUAGCUUGCAUUAGUAUAAUGGACAAUUUUAGAUGUAUUGCCUUCAAAAAGAAGACUCAGCAUCAUCCGAUGGAAGGGCGCCUGGACCAAGGACGUUAUCGGAUGUGGUCGGGUCGUGACAGGUGUUGGUUCAAUAUUAUGUGUUGUGUCUUAUUACUUAGAAUACUAUGUCUGGGAAAAACCCUCUUAUUAUCAAAUAUUUUGUGUUGUGUCUUAUUGCUUAGAACAUUAUGAUUUGUAAAUCCCUCCUAUUUCAAAUAAAAGCAGGAGCGAGGGGGGGGAUUGUUUAGAGCGUGUUGAGAGGCUGUGAUCUGAACAAUCUCCCAUAC
Phyllopteryx taeniolatus (common seadragon) is the source of this 5048-nucleotide long non-coding RNA. RefSeq lists it as uncharacterized. The record is from RefSeq and is a predicted model, not a curated record. The transcript has 5 exons. NCBI's taxonomy places the organism in Eukaryota, Metazoa, Chordata, Actinopteri, Syngnathiformes, Syngnathidae.